GUGAGGAAUAUUGGUCAAUGGACGAGAGUCUGAACCAGCCAAGUCGCGUGAAGGAAGACGGUUCUAUGAAUUGUAAACUUCUUUUGUGCAGGAAUAAAGUGGGUUACGUGUAACCUUUUGUAUGUACUGUACGAAUAAGGAUCGGCUAACUCCGUGCCAGCAGCCGCGGUAAUACGGAGGAUCCGAGCGUUAUCCGGAUUUAUUGGGUUUAAAGGGUGCGUAGGUGGAUUGAUAAGUCAGCGGUGAAAGUUUGCAGCUUAACUGUAAAAUUGCCGUUGAAACUGUCGGUCUUGAGUGCAAAUGAGGUAGGCGGAAUGUGUUGUGUAGCGGUGAAAUGCUUAGAUAUAACACAGAACACCGAUUGCGAAGGCAGCUUACUGGGAUGCAACUGACGCUCAUGCACGAAAGCGUGGGGAUCAAACAGGAUUAGAUACCCUUGUAGUCC
RNAcentral lists this ribosomal RNA (445 nucleotides) under uncultured bacterium. RNAcentral describes it as "partial 16S ribosomal RNA". It matches the Rfam family "Bacterial small subunit ribosomal RNA", at positions 354 to 796 of the family's 1533-position model. The record is from RNAcentral.